UAAUCCCCAGGCGCCGGGUGGGCGUCGUAGGCGUGGGCGGGCGUCGUCCACCUAGCUAAGGUGGACGGAGGGGGAGGGAGAAGAGAGGAGAGCGACGGCGAUGUCCUACGGCGGCCCCAGCGAGAGUAGGGAGGUCGUCGCAGCCGUGGCGCCCUGCGUCGCCCGAGCUGAACGUAGCCGCCGCGGCCACAGGGAGAGGAGGCAGCUCGCCGCCGCCGCACCCUGCAUCGUCCAAUUUAGACGCAAACCGCCGUCGCCGCCGCCGCUGUCCAAGGCGAGGAACAGCGCGGCGGGGAGAGGAAAAGGAACGAAAGAACGGGGACGCCUCUAGCUCCCUCUGCGGGAGCCGAAUACCGGAGGAGAGAUCCCGGUCCACCACCGAUCUCCUUUCCCCUCCGCCUUCUUUAGGCGGGGUUCCGAGAGCGGCAGAGCGAGAUGGAAUACCACAACAUACCAGACAGCCUGUUCCCUUGGGCCAACGACUGACUAUAGUUUGCGGAAGAGGGAUUCUAGUACGAGGGUCCGAUUUAGUUGUGGUGGACAACCCUAGACUGAGACCACCCUACCUUGUACCUUUCGAUAACCGGCGAACGUCAGAGUGUUAGACAGUCUGCGUGUUCACCUCAAAACAAACCGUUACGAAAAGAUAACUCGUAUAAUUCUCUAACGGUAAACAGACAGGAAAAAUAAUUCUUUACUGCUUAGUAAAUCGUGCUUAAACAUUGACCAAGUUCAUGUACUGACAGUUUUAUGCCACACAAGCUGUUGUGUAGAAGAUAGUUCAACGACCCUUACAACGGACACGGGGCACCGUGACAGUUGUUAUAACCUAAGUACGUAAACUACGGGAGAACCUAGGUCCCUCUCCACGGUUUAAAAGUCACUUAAUAUCGCACUUAAAGUAUCGGACGUCGUAAACGGAUGUCGGCUAUCUUAGAUACUAGGGUGUUCCCGACAGAGAUACUCGAUUUGUUAAUGUCAUGUUCCGUGUGAGCUUAAGUCUGAAAUCUCGGAGUACUCGUUACAACACUCUCGAUAGAUUUCUUUUAGGGAGAAUUAAGACAAGACCAACAUACUACCUUAAACUAAUCUAUUCUUAGGUGCAGACCUCCGUGGCAGGCAGAGUACCGCGGGGGGUAGAGCGACGACGGAGCAGAGUACCGCAGGUUAUUGGUUUCCAUAAAAAAAUUAACCAUAAUAAAGAAACAACCAUUAUAAAUGAUAACAUUUACCGCACUAGACUACUACAUAGGACCUAUGUUAAGUUAAUUAAUUUACUACGGACAUGUUAUACUAGACAUCAUAUCGGUCGAGAUACACUCCCGUUACACUUUGUUACAUUUCAUGAUCCAAGAAGGAUUUAUCGUGAACUGUGAAAUAACACGUAAAACCUCGAUACUUCUUAAAUCGAGACAUCCACGGUAACCAAAGACCAUAUCUACUGUAGGGAUUACGGUGUCCACCGAACAGAAGUUUCUAACAUAAGAAUAAAUCAUCACACAACGUCAUUUCGAAAGAGAAAACACAUUUUGACAUUGUUUGGUACACGAGAAUAAUAAACCCGCAUUAGAGUACGACCAAUUUGAUGAAUGACACUCUCACUGUACGGUUUCACCCGUUUGACGGAACACAGUCCAAGGUUCCUUAUACGUCUUAUGUCAAGUGCGUGUAACGCGCAUAUACGUCUUAGUGACCAAAAAAGUCACGUGUAAUGUCUCAUUCUGUUGCAACUACUAAGUUGUUCUUUUAUUACCACAAAAGAAACGUAUGUUAUCUGUUGAAGUUACAAUGUUUAUGUUCCGUAAAGUCAGGUAUCCGAAGCCUCAAGUCUGGUAGUGGGUGCUCUUGUGUACGUUUCACAAAGGUAAAAGCAACGUCUAGAGCCAAUUAAGAGGUGUACUGUGUCUACGUUGGACGCGUGUGUUUUUCUUUCCGUUUUUAAGUCUAUGUUUCUCAUGAAAAGAAGAGAAUGAGGAACAUACGAAACGUUAGAAGUUCUGGUAACGAGAGACGACCAGGUACACU
This 2025-nucleotide ribosomal RNA is filed under the name Triticum aestivum (bread wheat). RNAcentral's name for it is "partial small subunit ribosomal RNA". The record is from RNAcentral. Lineage: Eukaryota; Viridiplantae; Streptophyta; Magnoliopsida; Poales; Poaceae.